GUGGGAUUAGCUAAGUUUGGUUAUAGCGCCAGAUUGUGGCUCUGGAGGCCAUGGGUUCGACUCCCAUAUCUCACC
This 75-nucleotide transfer RNA is filed under the name Amygdalobacter indicium. Its description in RNAcentral is "Oscillospiraceae bacterium UPII 610-J tRNA-His". It matches the Rfam family "tRNA". From Rfam's summary of the family: Transfer RNA (tRNA) molecules are approximately 80 nucleotides in length. Their secondary structure includes four short double-helical elements and three loops (D, anti-codon, and T loops). Lineage: Bacteria; Bacillati; Bacillota; Clostridia; Eubacteriales; Oscillospiraceae. The record is from RNAcentral.